RNAcentral lists this ribosomal RNA (440 nucleotides) under uncultured bacterium. RNAcentral's name for it is "partial 16S ribosomal RNA". It matches the Rfam family "Bacterial small subunit ribosomal RNA", at positions 338 to 795 of the family's 1533-position model. The record is from RNAcentral.
CCUACGGGUGGCAGCAGUAGGGAAUAUUGCUCAAUGGGGGAAACCCUGAAGCAGCAACGCCGCGUGGAGGAUGAAGGUUUUCGGAUUGUAAACUCCUUUUGUUAGAGAAGAUAAUGACGGUAUCUAACGAAUAAGCACCGGCUAACUCCGUGCCAGCAGCCGCGGUAAUACGGAGGGUGCAAGCGUUACUCGGAAUCACUGGGCGUAAAGAGCGCGUAGGCGGGAUAGCAAGUCAGAUGUGAAAUCCUAGGGCUUAACCAUGGAACUGCAUUUGAAACUGUUAUUCUAGAGUAUGGAAGAGGUAGGUGGAAUUCUUGGUGUAGGGGUAAAAUCCGUAGAGAUCAAGAGGAAUACUCAUUGCGAAGGCGACCUGCUAGAACAUAACUGACGCUGAUGCGCGAAAGCGUGGGGAGCAAACAGGAUUAGAUACCCUUGUAGUC